UCCCAACAGGUGGACCACAGGAGCCUUCUCCUCGCGGCCGGGCCCGGCUCCGCCGAGUCUAAUCAAGAUCCGUAGAACCGAAGCCCACCCUGCACUAGCCGGCUCCCCACUGUCCUGGGCCAGACGAGAGGAGGGGAACCCAACAUGGAGAGGUGGAUAUCCCUACUUGGUCCGGCUGCCGCUUAUUAUCAACGGAGCCUCUGGUUGUACGAGGACCCGAGACCUGGACCUUCCUGAUUCUAGUCCCCAUCCCACCUCCAGACUCCCACGACAACUUCACUCAGUUUGGUGAGAGAUUUGCAGAGGGCAGAAAAAUGGCCAGCUAUCUUGAAUUAGAAUGUGGAAGAGAGAUGUGUUUUGGUAAGAAAGUAGACGCCACCUAGAAAAGAGGGACGAGUGGAGUAAGGAAAUAGUACCCAGAGCCCCUGGGAGGCAAGGAGCAGGUGACUACCUAGAUUCUACCCCUGUUUCUUUAGUUCCUUGAGGUGUGGAUGAAGCAGGAUAGUAAGAAGUUAGGAGAAUUUCCUGGCAAGAGGAAUGAAGGAAUCGAAGACAAAAUAAUUAAACAAGGCCGAGCAAUUAACAGAUUGCUAAUACAUUGCAAGGUUUUAUCUUCCCUAACCAAGGACCUUAGGGGCAUAUAGUUUAUACCUCUCUUCCUCAACCGAAGAGUAAGUAGCUUGAAUCACCUAGAUUUGGGAGAUAGAGACCAGAGACCCAGUUGAUGUCAUUAGUGCCAGCUAAACCCCAGGAUGGAAAAAUUUAGGGAAAUAACAAAAAUGCUCAAUUAAAGCCAGACAAAUCCAAGAUAAAAGUAAAGCAGUGUAGCUGACCAGAGAAUGAUCCCAAACUUCCCUAUAACCUCAUUUUGAUGCAUCAGCAUAUUAAAGAACACACCUGGAAAGCUAAUAUCUUGUUGAGAUGCUCCCCCCUAAAACUCUGGGCCCUGUGCACUCUGUCUCUCUCUUUCCCUCAGGGGUGCACUUUCUGCCCCUACACUCUAAGGGACCCCACUAGACUUGCAAUCAGGGGAGCAGCGGGCAGCAACAGCUCAUCCAGGGCUAACCUAUUUCUAAGGACUUUACUUUUGCCUCUGUAAUUUCCUUUCCUGAGUCCAUACAACUCCUGUUACAGUAACCUUACCUCUUCUAUCUUAAGCCUUUCCUUUGUUUAACUGUCCCUAGCUUUAAUAAAUGUACUCUCAAAAUCA
Artibeus jamaicensis (Jamaican fruit-eating bat) is the source of this 1210-nucleotide long non-coding RNA. RefSeq lists it as uncharacterized. The transcript has 2 exons. The record is from RefSeq and is a predicted model, not a curated record. NCBI's taxonomy places the organism in Eukaryota, Metazoa, Chordata, Mammalia, Chiroptera, Phyllostomidae.